AUUGAACGCUGGCGGCAUGCUUUACACAUGCAAGUCGAACGGCAGCGCGGGCUUCGGCCUGGCGGCGAGUGGCGAACGGGUGAGUAAUGCAUCGGAACGUGCCCAGUAGUGGGGGAUAGCCCGGCGAAAGCCGGAUUAAUACCGCAUACGACCUGAAGGUGAAAGCGGGGGACCGAAAGGCCUCGCGCUAUUGGAGCGGCCGAUGUCGGAUUAGCUAGUUGGUGGGGUAAAGGCUUACCAAGGCGACGAUCCGUAGCUGGUCUGAGAGGACGACCAGCCACACUGGGACUGAGACACGGCCCAGACUCCUACGGGAGGCAGCAGUGGGGAAUUUUGGACAAUGGGGGCAACCCUGAUCCAGCCAUGCCGCGUGCGGGAAGAAGGCCUUCGGGUUGUAAACCGCUUUUGUUCGGGAAGAAAUCCUCUGGGCUAAUACCCCGGGGGGAUGACGGUACCGGAAGAAUAAGCACCGGCUAACUACGUG
This 484-nucleotide ribosomal RNA is filed under the name uncultured bacterium. RNAcentral's name for it is "partial 16S ribosomal RNA". It matches the Rfam family "Bacterial small subunit ribosomal RNA", at positions 29 to 507 of the family's 1533-position model. The record is from RNAcentral.